AAGUCGUAACAAGGUUUCCGUAGGUGAACCUGCGGAAGGGUGUCGGCCUCUAGCGAUCGUUACUGCGCCAUUCUUUCGAAUGCCAGGCCACUUGCCUCGCGCUGCUGCCCACUCCAUGCAGAGGUCCCUGAAUCAAAACUGUUCGGCGAUGAUUUACCAGGGAUUGCCGCGUCCUAACGGAAUGGGGGAGCACAAUGAAGGUUCACGGGGGGUUUAACGUUGGAUACGUGUUAAUGAUCACGCCCCCCUAUCACCUUUGCAUGAAAACGGGCCUGCGCUUAAUUGUGCGGCCACCAAACUCGAACAACUGUUAACAAUGGAUAUCUUGGUUCUC
Molecule: unclassified non-coding RNA, 334 nt
Filed under: fungal sp.
Lineage: Eukaryota; Fungi
Description: partial internal transcribed spacer region
Source: RNAcentral